This 404-nucleotide ribosomal RNA is filed under the name Clostridioides difficile. Its description in RNAcentral is "bacterial SSU rRNA". It matches the Rfam family "Bacterial small subunit ribosomal RNA", at positions 1 to 413 of the family's 1533-position model. Lineage: Bacteria; Bacillati; Bacillota; Clostridia; Peptostreptococcales; Peptostreptococcaceae. The record is from RNAcentral.
UUUAUUUGAGAGUUUGAUCCUGGCUCAGGAUGAACGCUGGCGGCGUGCCUAACACAUGCAAGUUGAGCGAUUUACUUCGGUAAAGAGCGGCGGACGGGUGAGUAACGCGUGGGUAACCUACCCUGUACACACGGAUAACAUACUGAAAGGUAUGCUAAUACGGGAUAAUAUAUUUGAGAGGCAUCUCUUGAAUAUCAAAGGUGAGCCAGUACAGGAUGGACCCGCGUCUGAUUAGCUAGUUGGUAAGGUAACGGCUUACCAAGGCGACGAUCAGUAGCCGAUCUGAGAGGGUGAUCGGCCACAUUGGAACUGAGACACGGUCCAAACUCCUACGGGAGGCAGCAGUGGGGAAUAUUGCACAAUGGGCGAAAGCCUGAUGCAGCAACGCCGCGUGAGUGAUGAAG